ACUAAGCGUACACGGUGGAUGCCUAGGCAGUCAGAGGCGAUGAAGGGCGUGCUAAUCUGCGAAAAGCGUCGGUAAGGUGAUAUGAACCGUUAUAACCGGCGAUACCCGAAUGGGGAAACCCAGUGUGUUUCGACACACUAUCAUGUCAUGAAUACAUAGUGGCAUGAGGCGAACCGGGGGAACUGAAACAUCUAAGUACCCCGAGGAAAAGAAAUCAACCGAGAUUCCCCCAGUAGCGGCGAGCGAACGGGGAGGAGCCCAGAACCUGAAUCGGCUUGUGUGUUAGUGGAAGCGUCUGGAAAGUCGCGCAGCAAAGGGUGAUAGCCCCGUACACUAAAAUGCACAGGUCGUGAGUUCGAUGAGUAGGGCGGGACACGUGACAUCCUGUCUGAAUAUGGGGGGACCAUCCUCCAAGGCUAAAUACUCCUGACUGACCGAUAGUGAACCAGUACCGUGAGGGAAAGGCGAAAAGAACCCCGGCGAGGGGAGUGAAAUAGAACCUGAAACCGUGUACGUACAAGCAGUGGGAGCACCUUCGUGGUGUGACUGCGUACCUUUUGUAUAAUGGGUCAGCGACUUAUAUUUUGUAGCAAGGUUAACCGUAUAGGGGAGCCGUAGGGAAACCGAGUCUUAACUGGGCGAAUAGUUGCAAGGUAUAGACCCGAAACCCGGUGAUCUAGCCAUGGGCAGGUUGAAGGUUGGGUAACACUAACUGGAGGACCGAACCGACUAAUGUUGAAAAAUUAGCGGAUGACUUGUGGCUGGGGGUGAAAGGCCAAUCAAACCGGGAGAUAGCUGGUUCUCCCCGAAAGCUAUUUAGGUAGCGCCUCGUGAACUCAUCUUCGGGGGUAGAGCACUGUUUCGGCUAGGGGGCCAUCCCGGCUUACCAAACCGAUGCAAACUCCGAAUACCGAAGAAUGUUAUCACGGGAGACACACGGCGGGUGCUAACGUCCGUCGUGAAGAGGGAAACAACCCAGACCGCCAGCUAAGGUCCCAAAGUCAUGGUUAAGUGGGAAACGAUGUGGGAAGGCANAGACAGCCAGGAUGUUGGCUUAGAAGCAGCCAUCAUUUAAAGAAAGCGUAAUAGCUCACUGGUCGAGUCGGCCUGCGCGGAAGAUGUAACGGGGCUAAACCAUGCACCGAAGCUGCGGCAGCGACGCUUAGGCGUUGUUGGGUAGGGGAGCGUUCUGUAAGCCGUUGAAGGUGGCCUGUGAGGGUUGCUGGAGGUAUCAGAAGUGCGAAUGCUGACAUAAGUAACGAUAAAGCGGGUGAAAAGCCCGCUCGCCGGAAGACCAAGGGUUCCUGUCCAACGUUAAUCGGGGCAGGGUGAGUCGACCCCUAAGGCGAGGCUGAAAAGCGUAGUCGAUGGGAAACAGGUUAAUAUUCCUGUACUUGGUGUUACUGCGAAGGGGGGACGGAGAAGGCUAGGCUAGCCGGGCGACGGUUGUCCCGGUUUAAGCGUGUAGGGGGUGUGACCUGGUAAAUCCGGUUGCAUAUCAACCCUGAGGCGUGAUGACGAUGCACUACGGUGCAGAAGUAGUUGAUGCCCUGCUUCCAGGAAAAUCCUCUAAGCUCCAGGUAACAUUAAAUCGUACCCCAAACCGACACAGGUGGUCAGGUAGAGAAUACCAAGGCGCUUGAGAGAACUCGGGUGAAGGAACUAGGCAAAAUGGUGCCGUAACUUCGGGAGAAGGCACGCUGGCAUGUAGGUGAAGUCCCUUGCGGAUGGAGCUGAAGCCAGUCGAAGAUACCAGCUGGCUGCAACUGUUUAAUAAAAACACAGCACUGUGCAAACACGAAAGUGGACGUAUACGGUGUGACGCCUGCCCGGUGCUGGAAGGUUAAUUGAUGGGGUCAGCCGCAAGGCGAAGCUCUUGAUCGAAGCCCCAGUAAACGGCGGCCGUAACUAUAACGGUCCUAAGGUAGCGAAAUUCCUUGUCGGGUAAGUUCCGACCUGCACGAAUGGCGUAAUGAUGGCCAGGCUGUCUCCACCCGAGACUCAGUGAAAUUGAACUCGCUGUGAAGAUGCAGUGUACCCGCGGCAAGACGGAAAGACCCCGUGAACCUUUACUAUAGCUUGACACUGAACAUUGAGCCUUGAUGUGUAGGAUAGGUGGGAGGCUUUGAAGCGUGGACGCCAGUCUGCGUGGAGCCAUCCUUGAAAUACCACCCUUUAAUGUUUGAUGUUCUAACUCGGCCCCGUGAUCCGGGGUGAGGACAGUGUCUGGUGGGUAGUUUGACUGGGGCGGUCUCCUCCCAAAGAGUAACGGAGGAGCACGAAGGUUAGCUAAUCACGGUCGGACAUCGUGAGGUUAGUGCAAAGGCAUAAGCUAGCUUGACUGCGAGAGUGACGGCUCGAGCAGGUACGAAAGUAGGUCUUAGUGAUCCGGUGGUUCUGAAUGGAAGGGCCAUCGCUCAACGGAUAAAAGGUACUCCGGGGAUAACAGGCUGAUACCGCCCAAGAGUUCAUAUCGACGGCGGUGUUUGGCACCUCGAUGUCGGCUCAUCACAUCCUGGGGCUGAAGUAGGUCCCAAGGGUAUGGCUGUUCGCCAUUUAAAGUGGUACGCGAGCUGGGUUUAGAACGUCGUGAGACAGUUCGGUCCCUAUCUGCCGUGGGCGUUGGAAGAUUGAGAGGGGUUGCUCCUAGUACGAGAGGACCGGAGUGAACGCACCACUGGUGUUCGGGUUGUCAUGCCAAUGGCAUUGCCCGGUAGCUAAGUGCGGAAAAGAUAAGCGCUGAAAGCAUCUAAGCGCGAAACUUGCCUCAAGAUGAGUCUUCCCUGGGCCUUUAAGGCCCCUGAAGGAACGUUUAAGACUAAGACGUUGAUAGGCUGGGUGUGUAAGUGCAGCGAUGCAUUGAGCUAACCAGUACUAAUGAUCCGUGAGGCUUAACC
RNAcentral lists this ribosomal RNA (2897 nucleotides) under Serratia marcescens. Its description in RNAcentral is "bacterial LSU rRNA". It matches the Rfam family "Bacterial large subunit ribosomal RNA". The record is from RNAcentral. Lineage: Bacteria; Pseudomonadati; Pseudomonadota; Gammaproteobacteria; Enterobacterales; Yersiniaceae.